RNAcentral lists this long non-coding RNA (1094 nucleotides) under Homo sapiens (human). Its description in RNAcentral is "HSALNT0388589". Lineage: Eukaryota; Metazoa; Chordata; Mammalia; Primates; Hominidae. The record is from RNAcentral.
UUUUAAUGAGGAGUAGACUUUGUCAAAAACUUUUUCUAUGUCUAUUGAAAAGACGAAUGAGCAAAAAACAUUCACCUACAAUUCUACACCUAGCAAACAUUUCUUUGAAAAAUAGUGGUAGAAUAAAAAUGUGUUCAGGCAUAUAAGUGCUGGAAUAAUUUAUUUUCAGCAGAUCUGCAUUGUAAGAAAAAUGAGAAGAAUUCCUUCAGGAAGAAGAAAAAUGAUACCAGAUGGAUAUGUGGAUCCACAUAAAGGAACGAAGAGCACAGGAAAUAGUAACUAUACUGGAAGUGGUCCAGCCACCCUUUUCAUCUCUACCGUGGAAGACCUUUCAGGACCGACCUAGAUGGGGUUCAGGGGAAAAGAGACGAGCAGCCAGUGGAUCAGCAUGAAACCUGUGACCAGACUCCCUCAGUUCAUACCAUGGCUCUGCCACUUAUUUGCUGCAUGAUCCCAGGCACGUUGCUUUACUUUGCUGUGGUUUAGUUCCUCCCCUCUGAACAUGGUGGCAAUAAUGAUACUUUACUCCUAGGGUGGUUGUGAGGACAAAAUUGGUUAACCUGUGUAAAACACUUAGAGCUACAUCUUGCACAUUGUAAAGAUAUGUACAUACUUGUUUUAUUACUAUUCUCUAUAUUUUUUAUUUUCCUGAAUACAAAAAAUGGUUUUGGUAUGUUGUUUUUCUAUUUGGCCAUUUUGUUGAGUUAUCUUAUUUAUUAUAAUAGUUUUUUUUAAAAUGACUUCUCUUAGAUUUCCUUGGUAGAGAAUUGUAAAAAUUAGACAGUUGAGCAGUUGAGGCCAUCCUUUGCAAUAGUUAAAACUCUUUUUUUUUUUUUUUGUCUUAUUACAUUGGCUAAUAUCUCUCGUGGCAAUGAUAAUGGAAAUCCUUGUCUUGUUCCUAAGUAGUAAGACUUCCUCUGAUAUUUCACCAUUAAGCAAGAUGUUUGCUGUAGGAUUUGGUAACUAUGCUUUAGAAGAUGAAGAUAUUUUAUUGUGAUAAAAUGAUAUUAUUAAAGUAUUUUUUUAAUGAGAAAGCAUGAUGAAUUUUAUUAAAUGUUCUCUUUGGCAUCUUUUAAGUUUAGCAUAUAUUUUUU